RNAcentral lists this ribosomal RNA (253 nucleotides) under uncultured bacterium. Its description in RNAcentral is "partial 16S ribosomal RNA". It matches the Rfam family "Bacterial small subunit ribosomal RNA", at positions 524 to 776 of the family's 1533-position model. The record is from RNAcentral.
UACGGAGGGAGCUAGCGUUGUUCGGAAUUACUGGGCGUAAAGCGCGUGUAGGCGGGUCUUUAAGUCAGGGGUGAAAUGCCAAGGCUCAACCUUGGAACUGCCUUUGAUACUGGAGACCUUGAGUCCGGGAGAGGUGAGUGGAAUUGCGAGUGUAGAGGUGAAAUUCGUAGAUAUUCGCAAGAACACCAGUGGCGAAGGCGGCUCACUGGCCCGGAACUGACGCUGAGAUGCGAAAGCGUGGGGAGCAAACAGG